GACGAACGCUGGCGGCGUGCUUAACACAUGCAAGUCGAACGGAAAGGUCCUGCGUUUGUGGCUUGCUCGUUUGGCGAACACGGGUGUAACACGUGAGUGAACUGCCCUUAUCUUUCUGGUAACUUUACGAAACUCGGGAUAAUACCGGGGAUGAUCUCCUGCUCCGUGGUGGGGGUUGGAAAGUCUGGGCUGUUCGGUAUGUACUCGCGGCUUAUCAGCUUGUUUGUGGGGUAGAGGCUUACAAAGCCUUUGAAGGAUAGCCGGCCUGGGAGGUGUACCGGCGACAUGGGGACUGCGAUAGGGAGCAGACUCCUACGGGAGGCAGUAGUGGGGAAUCUUGCACAAUGGGGGGAAGUGAGAUGCAGCAACGCCGCGUGCGGGAUGACGGCCUUCGGGGUGUAAACCGCCUUGGAAUGUGAUGAAGCGUGAGUGACGGUAAUGGGUAAAGAAGCAACGGCUAACUACGUG
This 468-nucleotide ribosomal RNA is filed under the name uncultured bacterium. Its description in RNAcentral is "partial 16S ribosomal RNA". It matches the Rfam family "Bacterial small subunit ribosomal RNA", at positions 28 to 507 of the family's 1533-position model. The record is from RNAcentral.